CCCCCCAACCUUUUAAACCUAAACCGGCACGCGAGUGAAGCGGCAAAAGCUCAAAUUUGAAAUCUGGUACCUUCGGUGCCCGAGUUGUAAUUUGGAGAGGGCAACUUUGGGGCCGUUCCUUGUCUAUGUUCCUUGGAACAGGACGUCAUAGAGGGUGAGAAUCCCGUGUGGCGAGGAGUGCGGUUCUUUGUAAAGUGCCUUCGAAGAGUCGAGUUGUUUGGGAAUGCAGCUCUAAGUGGGUGGUAAAUUCCAUCUAAAGCUAAAUAUUGGCGAGAGACCGAUAGCGAACAAGUACAGUGAUGGAAAGAUGAAAAGAACUUUGAAAAGAGAGUGAAAAAGUACGUGAAAUUGUUGAAAGGGAAGGGCAUUUGAUCAGACAUGGUGUUUUGUGCCCUCUGCUCCUUGUGGGUAGGGGAAUCUCGCAUUUCACUGGGCCAGCAUCAGUUUUGGUGGCAGGAUAAAUCCAUAGGAAUGUAGCUUGCCUCGGUAAGUAUUAUAGCCUGUGGGAAUACUGCCAGCUGGGACUGAGGACUGCGACGUAAGUCAAGGAUGCUGGCAUAAUGGUUAUAUGCCGCCCGUCUUGAAACACGGACCA
This 595-nucleotide ribosomal RNA is filed under the name Saccharomyces cerevisiae (brewer's yeast). RNAcentral's name for it is "eukaryotic LSU rRNA". It matches the Rfam family "Eukaryotic large subunit ribosomal RNA", at positions 1 to 668 of the family's 3401-position model. Lineage: Eukaryota; Fungi; Ascomycota; Saccharomycetes; Saccharomycetales; Saccharomycetaceae. The record is from RNAcentral.